CAGUAGCCCGGGAAUACGAAGGGUGCGAGCGUUACCCGGAUUUACUGGGCGUAAAGGGCGUGUAGGCGGCCUGGGGCGUCCCAUGUGAAAGGCCACGGCUCAACCGUGGAGGAGCGUGGGAUACGCUCAGGCUAGAGGGUGGGAGAGGGUGGUGGAAUUCCCGGAGUAGCGGUGAAAUGCGCAGAUACCGGGAGGAACGCCGAUGGCGAAGGCAGCCACCUGGUCCACUUCUGACGCUGAGGCGCGAAAGCGUGGGGAGCAAACCGGAUUAGAUACCCCAGUAGUCCCUGUCUCUUAUACA
RNAcentral lists this ribosomal RNA (301 nucleotides) under uncultured bacterium. RNAcentral describes it as "partial 16S ribosomal RNA". It matches the Rfam family "Bacterial small subunit ribosomal RNA", at positions 509 to 808 of the family's 1533-position model. The record is from RNAcentral.